UGGGGAAUAUUGGACAAUGGGCGCAAGCCUGAUCCAGCAAUGCCGCGUGUGUGAAGAAGGCCUUCGGGUUGUAAAGCACUUUUAUCAGGAGCGAAAUACUACCGGCUAAUACCCGGUGGGGCUGACGGUACCUGAGGAAUAAGCACCGGCUAACUUCGUGCCAGCAGCCGCGGUAAUACGAAGGGUGCAAGCGUUAAUCGGAAUUACUGGGCGUAAAGCGUGCGUAGGCGGUUUCUUAAGUCUGCUGUGAAAUCCCCGGGCUCAACCUGGGAAUGGCAGUGGAUACUGGGAAGCUAGAGUGUGUCAGAGGAUGGUGGAAUUCCCGGUGUAGCGGUGAAAUGCGUAGAGAUCGGGAGGAACAUCAGUGGCGAAGGCGGCCAUCUGGGACAACACUGACGCUGAGGCACGAAAGCGUGGGGAGCAAACA
Molecule: ribosomal RNA, 427 nt
Filed under: uncultured Dyella sp.
Lineage: Bacteria; Pseudomonadati; Pseudomonadota; Gammaproteobacteria; Lysobacterales; Rhodanobacteraceae
Description: bacterial SSU rRNA
Rfam family: Bacterial small subunit ribosomal RNA
Source: RNAcentral